Molecule: long non-coding RNA, 228 nt
Organism: Bufo bufo (common toad)
Lineage: Eukaryota; Metazoa; Chordata; Amphibia; Anura; Bufonidae
Exons: 3
Source: RefSeq, a predicted model, not a curated record
GUCCGCAAAAAACAAACAAAAAGACAGAUCCGCAAAAAAUACGGAUGUCGUCCGUGUGCAUUCCGUAUUUUGCGGAACGGAACAGCAGGCCCUUAAAAGAACAGUACUAGCUUUGUCUGUAAUGCGGACAAUAAUAAGACAUGUUCUAUUUUUUUUUGUAGAACGGAAAUACAGACAUACGGAAACAGAAUGCACACGGAGUAACUUCUGUUUUUUGCGGACCCAUUG